This 259-nucleotide ribosomal RNA is filed under the name uncultured bacterium. Its description in RNAcentral is "partial 16S ribosomal RNA". It matches the Rfam family "Bacterial small subunit ribosomal RNA", at positions 15 to 257 of the family's 1533-position model. The record is from RNAcentral.
GAUCAUGGCUCAGGAUGAACGCUGGCGGCGUGCUUAACACAUGCAAGUCGAACGGGAAUUACUUUAUUGAAACUUCGGUCGAUUAAUUUAAUUCUAGUGGCGGACGGGUGAGUAACGCGUGGGUAACCUGCCUUGUACAGGGGGAGUAACAGUCAGAAAUGACUGCUAAUACCGCAUAAGCGCACAGGACCGCAUGGUCCGGUGUGAAAAACUCCGGUGGUAUAAGAUGGACCCGCGUUGGAUUAGCUUGUUGGUGGGG